Non-coding RNA from Oryza barthii, 114 nucleotides. The record is from Rfam. Lineage: Eukaryota; Viridiplantae; Streptophyta; Magnoliopsida; Poales; Poaceae.
GCCUAAUGAUGCUAAAAUCAAGGCUUGUUUCUCAUAGCAUUUGCAGUUUGCCGCCUAAUAGCUUUCGCCCUGCCAGGCUUGAGAGCUAGUGCUGUUAAAUCCUUCGUUGAAUGC